Phrynosoma platyrhinos (Desert horned lizard) is the source of this 70-nucleotide non-coding RNA. NCBI's taxonomy places the organism in Eukaryota, Metazoa, Chordata, Lepidosauria, Squamata, Phrynosomatidae. The record is from the annotation of a GenBank genome assembly.
AGCGAAGAGCCAGUGGUUUGAGUGUUGGACUACAACUCUGGAGACCAGGGUUCAAAUCCCAGCUCAGCCA